GGGGAGGUGUUAAAUUGUAUUUACCUGUAUGUAUGCUAGUGAGCCUACAGGCCCUGUUACAUGUAUUAACUAGCAGGCAGCCUGCCUGUGGGCGCCGCUGGCCCUGGUGAGUCAUGGGUGGUAGCUAGGGUUCCUAACCCUAGCUGCCCCUACGCCUGGUCCCCCAGGCCUAUAUAUGGUUGUAGCUUGUGCAUUUGUCUAAUCAAUCUUUCCUCGCCUAAACAUCUCUUCCAACUCCAUCCAAGUUCAUGAAUCCAUGGAUUGGCAGUGAACUGACUAUGGUUCUCUAUCUAGCUCAACAGAUCUUAUCCUAGCAUAAAGAAUAGAUUGCAUAUGGGGGCAAACAUGAUGUAAAGAUUAAUAGCAUGAGUAAAAGUAGAUCUCAUCCACGUAUAUAUAUGAUAAUACCACCUAAGGUAGCAAGAGCCUAUUAUCUUCUAGUUGUAGUUCUAACUAACAAGCAAGCACAACAUGUAUCCCAUCCAAAGCAAUCUUUAAACUACUACCUCCAGUCAACCUCCCGAAAACCCCCACCUUACAAAAGAAAGAUCCCGUCAUGAUUCUCUCCAUCAGGGUAGGUAGAUUAAGGCCACGAUCACAAGGUAAAUGUGUCUAGUUAUCAAGAAGGAUCAACUUACUAGAUCUAAUUGCCAUGAUUACAUAAAGCAAGCUAUGUAGUCUAACUAUGAAUUAUACUAAGGAACUAGCAUAUUCAUGAUAGAUAGAAGAGUGUACAAGAAGGCAUUGAGUCGCCAACAGAUCGGAUGACAUGAAGAACAUUGCUUAUAUAAUAGAUGUAUUUAGAUCAUCACCCCCGAGUACAUACCAUUGAUGAUCACAACUAGCUCCUGAACUCUACCUAAGCCAUCUCCUAGACAACUUCAAAGACCUACAGCGGCCCUCAGGUCCCUCUGGUGGUUGUUCUUGGUUUUGUCAAGUUCUGGUGGAUUGAUCUGCGAGCUCGGUAAAUUUUUAGGGUCAUUAUAGUCUGGAAAGCGCGUGACAGAAAUUGGAAGGCAAGGGGAGCAAGGAAAGCCCCAAGCCAAUCGGCCUGGGUGGUCUAGCCGUUCCUUGUGCCCUCCCGCGCCCUCCUUUGUCCCCAAGUCUAGUCUGAUAUUCUGGAAGUUUAUUUUCACUUGCAUGUGGACCUGGCACGUUGGUAGCUUUGGGAUGAGAUUGAUCUUCAAUAACUUUCUAAAUCUCUGCUUGAUCUUCUUUGAUUCCUCAUUGAUCCCGAAGUGAUACUUGCCAUAUCUUCACAAACUUGACCCUUGGGAUUGCUUGCCAAAAACAAGCACGAGAGGGGGUCAAAAGACUCCAGGCCGAUCGGCCUGAGGGGCACUUGGCCGAUCGGCCGAGGCUCUAUUUGUGCCUCGUGCUCUUCGUCUUCCUCUGGUCCACUGCUCGUUCAUAGUCUUAUCCAAAAAUCCAUAUUUAGCCCAAUUCCCUGUGAAACAGAAUAUCCUCCAAAAUAUCUUGCAUAUGUGAAAAAAUAGGGUUAUUUCAGUUGACUAGUGGCAGGUUAGUAUAAGAAUAUGCAUGAAAACACUGAUGGUAUGCAUGAAAACACUAGUUAAAUAACACAAAAACUGUGCCAGUAAUGAGCAUCAACAAUCCCUCCAUGCUUUGCUCUUGCUCAUCCUCGAGCAAGUUAAGCGACUACAAACUUCUCCAAAGGGUAAAAUAAAGAUCUUGAACCAAACCUGAGCAAGCGAGUCAAGUACCUAGUCCUUCCAAUAAAAGAUCAGAGGAGUAGCAAAGAUAAUCAAAGUACGGGUGUUCAAAGAUUUAUUUAAGCAAAAAUUACCCCACAGCUUUUAGAACUAAGUAACUUCGUGACUCAAUUAUACUUACUUUCUAGCUUACCUUGGAGGGUUUUUCUUUUGUUAUAAAACAAUCUCCCUUCAACUUGAAUUGAAAACAAAAUUCUCUUUCAGGUGCUUACAUGUCGCUCAAUUUAAAAGUGGCUAUCCUAGUUAUUUUGCAAGCUCUCAUCUCUCAAAUAGUUACUCAUUAUGCCGUGAAUCUUGAACAUAGCUAGCAAGAAUCAAUACUUAUAUUAUCGAAAUAAGAAAACUCUCUAACGGUUGCUUACCUUCCAAGCCAAUAAUCAUGAAACAGGCCUGCUGGGCUGCUGCUGGCACGGCUGCUGCGGCUGGGCCAUAAAGAGAGAAGUUGGCCAAAAGGAAGAGAAGGAAGGGAGGGAAAAGAAAAGAGUUUCCUAUUAUUUAAAAGAUUCAAACAAAUAAAUUCAAACACAAAUUUGAAUUCGAGCAACCAAAACAAUGCACCACCAUGAAUGCAACAAUGAACUCCUAUAAUUCAAUAAUUUAUUUUGAAAAAGAUUUAAAUGCCUAUGAAAAUUUAAAUGCAACCUUAAAAUCCUUAGACACGUGCAUUUAAUUUCUAACAAAUUUUAUUAAUUGCAAAAUUUGAAUAUUAGGGUGUUACAAUAUUAGUCUGCCAAUAUGGGUGGACGGCCUUCAUCUGCAGCGGUGCUCAGAGGCCUUAGUCUACAACGUACUGUCAAUGGCGGCUGUGUAUUGGCGAGGCAACCAGCGGAAAACGAUAACUCAGAAUAUUCAACCUGUAAGUGGCUGAAGGCGAAUUACAGAUUGCACAAAGGCGCUUCUAUUAAUUGACAUGAGGCACUUCCAUAUAUACAAAAUAUGAAACAAACAUACCGCACACGUGUUGUGGGUCUGUUUCAGGUUGCCAAGAUGAGAAAAAACAAGUACUACUGAGAAAGAAUCAACCCUACUGUGAUGGCUUGAGCCAGAGUAGAAACCAACAGCUAUACCUGAUCGGUGUCAAUGUUGAUGGAUUGAUCUAUCACAUAUACUCCUGAGUCCUUCCAUCCCGAACACAAACAUACAUGAGAAAGUACCAAAGCCAGAUAAGGAACUUGACAUAGCACCAUUUUAAUUCUCUUUCUCUUCACUUGCGCUGACUUUAUAGGCACCUCCUACAUGAUCAUUCUCUGUCUGCUCAAUUUUGAUUCAAACUAGGGCAGGCAUAGAUAUAAGGCCCAGCCAACCUCAGCUGCCGCGCAUGAUGCAAACCUGUAGCAGGAUAUUGGUCAAUAAU
Molecule: long non-coding RNA, 3087 nt
Filed under: Setaria viridis
Lineage: Eukaryota; Viridiplantae; Streptophyta; Magnoliopsida; Poales; Poaceae
Description: long non-coding RNA (SVIR_LNC003624)
Source: RNAcentral